RNAcentral lists this ribosomal RNA (404 nucleotides) under uncultured prokaryote. Its description in RNAcentral is "bacterial SSU rRNA". It matches the Rfam family "Bacterial small subunit ribosomal RNA", at positions 355 to 774 of the family's 1533-position model. The record is from RNAcentral.
UGGGGAAUAUUGGGCAAUGGGCGAAAGCCUGACCCAGCAACGCCGCGUGAAGGAAGAAGGCCUUCGGGUUGUAAACUUCUUUGACCAGGGAAGAAGAAGUGACGGUACCUGGAAAACAAGCCACGGCUAACUACGUGCCAGCAGCCGCGGUAAUACGUAGGUGGCAAGCGUUGUCCGGAUUUACUGGGUGUAAAGGGCGUGUAGGCGGGAUUGCAAGUCAGAUGUGAAAUGCCGGGGCUUAACCCCGGAGCUGCAUUUGAAACUGUAGUUCUUGAGUGAUGGAGAGGCAGGCGGAAUUCCUAGUGUAGCGGUGAAAUGCGUAGAUAUUAGGAGGAACACCAGUGGCGAAGGCGGCCUGCUGGACAUUAACUGACGCUGAGGCGCGAAAGCGUGGGGAGCAAACA